CCCUAGUAACGGCGAGUGAAGCGGGAAGAGCUCAAAUUUGAAAUCUGGCGGUCUCAGGCCGUCCGAGUUGUAAUCUAGAGAGGUGUUUUCCGUGCCGGACCGUGUACAAGUCCCUUGGAACAGGGCGUCAUAGAGGGUGAGAAUCCCGUCCAUGACACGGACUACCGGUGCUCUGUGAUACACCUUCAAAGAGUCGAGUUGUUUGGGAAUGCAGCUCAAAAUGGGUGGUAAAUUCCAUCUAAAGCUAAAUACAGGCGAGAGACCGAUAGCGAACAAGUACCGUGAGGGAAAGAUGAAAAGAACUUUGGAAAGAGAGUUAAACAGUACGUGAAAUUGUUGAAAGGGAAACGCUUGAAGUCAGUCGCGUCUGCCAGGACUCACCCUUGCUUCUGCUUGGUGCACUUCUUGGUGGAUGGGCCAGCAUCGAUUUUGAUUGCCGGAAAAGGGCGGGAGGAAUGUGGCAGCUUUUGCUGUGUUAUAGCCUUCCGUCGUACACGGUGGUUGGGAUCGAGGACUGCAGAACGCCUUUGGUCGGGGUUCGCCCACGCCACGUGCUUAA
Molecule: ribosomal RNA, 559 nt
Filed under: Auricularia fibrillifera
Lineage: Eukaryota; Fungi; Basidiomycota; Agaricomycetes; Auriculariales; Auriculariaceae
Description: partial large subunit ribosomal RNA
Rfam family: Eukaryotic large subunit ribosomal RNA
Source: RNAcentral